RNAcentral lists this ribosomal RNA (401 nucleotides) under uncultured bacterium. Its description in RNAcentral is "bacterial SSU rRNA". It matches the Rfam family "Bacterial small subunit ribosomal RNA", at positions 356 to 773 of the family's 1533-position model. The record is from RNAcentral.
CGGGAAUAUUGCGCAAUGGAGGAAACUCUGACGCAGUGACGCCGCGUAUAGGAAGAAGGUUUUCGGAUUGUAAACUAUUGUCGUUAGGGAAGAUAAAAGACAGUACCUAAGGAGGAAGCUCCGGCUAACUACGUGCCAGCAGCCGCGGUAAUACGUAGGGAGCAAGCGUUAUCCGGAUUUAUUGGGUGUAAAGGGUGCGUAGACGGGAAAUUAAGUUAGUUGUGAAAGCCCUCGGCUCAACUGAGGAACUGCAACUAAAACUGGUUUUCUUGAGUGCAGGAGAGGUAAGUGGAAUUCCUAGUGUAGCGGUGAAAUGCGUAGAUAUUAGGAGGAACACCAGUGGCGAAGGCGACUUACUGGACUGCAACUGACGUUGAGGCACGAAAGUGUGGGGAGCAAAC